This is a long non-coding RNA of Ceratitis capitata (Mediterranean fruit fly), 382 nucleotides long. RefSeq lists it as uncharacterized. NCBI's taxonomy places the organism in Eukaryota, Metazoa, Arthropoda, Insecta, Diptera, Tephritidae. The record is from RefSeq and is a predicted model, not a curated record. The transcript has 2 exons.
CAACUGUUGAUUUGGACAGGCAGUAGUUCCGUUCAGUGACAAUACAUCUGUCAUGGAAAUAUCAUCAGGCUGAUGAGUACCCACAUUCCAGCCACGAUCAGGUUUCUUGACAGUUGUUAAUCCAAAAAUUAGCGAAUAACGAAUAUGCUAUUACUAAUACUAUGUUACUGCUGUUUUUUUUUCUGUCAAAUUUAAUGCUUUGUGUUUUACUGGCCUUCAAUUUUAGUGGUUGCAGCAUCCAGAAAAUCUACGUAUAUUUUAUAGUAUUUAACUUUAAGAAUACCGUUAAAUGGGAAUACACAUCCGGUUCAGCAGCUGGUUCUAAUAUGAUUCAAAUAAAUAAAAAACAAAACAAAAUUAUUUACUAAUUAAAUUAUCAAAA